Molecule: ribosomal RNA, 253 nt
Filed under: uncultured Conexibacter sp.
Lineage: Bacteria; Bacillati; Actinomycetota; Thermoleophilia; Solirubrobacterales; Conexibacteraceae
Description: partial 16S ribosomal RNA
Rfam family: Bacterial small subunit ribosomal RNA
Source: RNAcentral
GACGUAGGGGGCAAGCGUUGUCCGGAAUCAUUGGGCGUAAAGAGCGUGUAGGCGGCUCGGUAAGUCCGCUGUGAAAGUCCAGGGCUCAACCCUGGAAUGCCAGUGGAAACUGCCAAGCUAGAGUCCGGAAGAGGCGAGUGGAACUCCUGGUGUAGCGGUGAAAUGCGCAGAUAUCAGGAAGAACACCAAUGGCGAAGGCAGCUCGCUGGGACGCGACUGACGCUGAGACGCGAAAGCGUGGGGAGCAAACAGG